CGCGUAGGUGGUCAGGUAAGUUUGGAGUGAAAGUCCUAUUUUCAAGGUAGGAACUGCUUUGAAAACUGCCUGACUGGAGUGAUGGAGAGGAUAGCGGAAUUCCCGGUGUAGCGGUGAAAUGCGUAGAGAUCGGGAGGAACACCAGUGGCGAAGGGGGCUAUCUGGACAUAGACUGACACUGAGGCGCGAAAGCGUGGGUAGCAAACA
Molecule: ribosomal RNA, 207 nt
Filed under: uncultured bacterium
Lineage: Bacteria
Description: partial 16S ribosomal RNA
Rfam family: Bacterial small subunit ribosomal RNA
Source: RNAcentral